Molecule: unclassified non-coding RNA, 949 nt
Filed under: Hevea brasiliensis (rubber tree)
Lineage: Eukaryota; Viridiplantae; Streptophyta; Magnoliopsida; Malpighiales; Euphorbiaceae
Source: RNAcentral
CGUAAUGUUAUCAAGGAAAAGAGCACUCAAAUUCCUGACGAGUCUCAUAUCUGCAAGUGUAUGAACAAAUUGCUUUGAUCAUGCUUAAUGCAAUUGUAUCAAUUGGGAGGAUUUUAUUGUUCAUAUUAGAUUGGGGCGUAACGCUAUAUUCCCACUCAUUUGCAACAAAUUGCUUUUAUUAUUGAAUACAAUUAUGUUUCGUUUAAAAUAAAUAAAUAAAUAAAGGCUUCACUUGUUUUAUGUGAUAUAUUAGAGCAAAAAUAUAUAAUAUUUGUUUUAUGGAAUUGGAACACAUGAAAUAAUUGAAAACUGAAACAUAAAGGAGAAAAACCAGCAACCAAUGCUAUGAAAUAAUUGUUCUAUUUGUAUAGUACCGCAUGAAUCAAACUUUGGUUUAAAUGGCAUACCUCUUGAGGCCACAACUUUACUAAUUUGAUUUCCUCCUAGGCUUAGUACCUCUAAGUUGCCCAAAGCAUCCAAUUCUUCCAUAUUUAUUAAUCCUUCUAAGAGAUUGUAUUCCAUAUUCAAAAACUUGAGAGAUGAAAGUCUCCUGAGAGAUGAUAGACUAUUGUUAUCCAGGCGAUUAUAGCUCAAAUCAAGAUAUUCCAAAUUGCUCAGCUUCUGUAACUCUUUACCACCACCUUGGAACAAUUUAAGGGAUUCAAUUUCAUUGCCCGCUAAAUUCAAGAACUUCAAGCUUGUUCCAUUACUUAAUUCUGCCCAAGGGAAAUAUAAUUCACUGGGAAUGCAUGAACAUCCUUUGUUUGAGAUAACAGUUAAAGAAAAUGAACAGAAACAGAAAUUGAAACUCACUUUGAAUAUCGAUUAGUCCUUUCAAUCCACGUUGAUACAGAAAUAAUUUUUUUAAAUAUGGAAGAUCAACAAAGGAUGAUAGGAAACCAUUGCCGACGUUGUCAAAACUUAUAUCAAGAAAUUCCAAAUUUCCAAG